Non-coding RNA from Theobroma cacao (cacao), 6017 nucleotides. The record is from RefSeq and is a predicted model, not a curated record. NCBI's taxonomy places the organism in Eukaryota, Viridiplantae, Streptophyta, Magnoliopsida, Malvales, Malvaceae.
AAACAUUUUCCCUAAAAACCCCCACAAGUAAAAGGAAAAAAAAAAGAAAAAAAAAAGGAAAAUCAAAACAAGCAAUUGCUUAAUCCCCAUUUUAGACGCCUCACGCUCACCCUCUUGCCAUGGGUAGGUGCCUGUCUGUCCGUCACGCUCACUCACAGGACCAACAAGAAGAAGCAGCGAUUCUUCCCCAACUCUUAGCUCCUCGCUUCGAUUUCGUCGCCGAUCCUUCUCCUUUACCCCUCUGAAUUUCCAACUUUACCCCGCACAUUUCCAGUAAGUCCGUUGGCUAUUCUCUUCGCCCCUCCCUCUCUCCAUCCCAAUUUCUUUCCCUCGAAACAAACAGAUAACACAAUAUAUAUGAUAUGUUAUGCAUGUUGAUUCGCUCGAGAUAAAAUUAGAUGGGGCACAAAAAGAAGAACGCUGCUCCACGCUCUAAACGACCGUCGUCGCAGCCGCCGCCGGUGGCUGCCACAACGGUGGUGGAUGUCAUUAACGAUUCAGCUGAACGCGAGCUGACUGGGAAUAAUGCCAAGAUCGAGGUUGCGGCUGUUGCCGUUGAAUCUGACGCUUCGUCUUCCUCGUCCUAUGCGGCGGUUAAGAUUGAGUGCGAGCGAGCCCUAACGGCUCUCCGACGUGGCAACCACACGAAAGCGCUUCGGUUGAUGAAAGAAUCGUGUACUUGUCACGAGAACUCGGCUCACGCGGCCUUAAUCCACCGCGUUCAAGGCACGGUAUGCGUGAAAGUGGCUUCCAUCAUCGACGACCCUACCGCCAAACACCGGCAUUUGAAAAAUGCAAUCGACUCGGCAAAAAAAGCCGUGGAAUUAUCUCCCAACUCGAUCGAAUUUUCUCAUUUUUAUGCUAAUUUACUGUAUGAAGCGGCCAACGAUGGGAAAGAGUUUGAAGAAGUGGUUCAAGAAUGCGAACGUGCGUUGGCCAUUGAGAAUCCGGUGGAUCCCGCCAAAGAAAGCUUACAAGAAGAGAGUCAACAGAAAAUAUCAACGGCGGAGGCAAGGAUUUUGCACGUGCAAAGUGAGCUUAGGUCGUUAAUUCAGAAAUCGAAUAUCGCUUCUAUUUCUACGUGGAUGAAGAAUUUAGGGAAUGGAGAAGAGAAGUUUAGGUUAAUUCCGAUUCGGAGAGUAACUGAGGAUCCAAUGGAGGUUAGGUUAGUGCAAACGAGAAGGCCUAAUGAGAUUAAGAAAGCUACAAAGACUCCGGAAGAAAGGAGGAAAGAGAUUGAGGUUAGAGUUGCUGCUGCUAGGUUGUUGCAGCAGCAGAAAUCUGAGGCAGCUUCUUCAGCACUGUUGCAAAGCGAGGGAGAGAGGAAUGGACUCGAUUUGACAUCAGGAAGUGGACAAAGAGGAGGAGUGGAAAGGAGGAGGAAGAUUGGUUCUACUGCUGAAAGGAAAGAUUGGGUUCGAUCCUUUUGGAAUUCAAUGAGCGUUGAUUCAAAGAAAGAUUUGCUUAGGAUUAGGGUUAGUGAUCUCAAGGAGUAUUUUGGUUUGUUGAAAGAUGGGUUGGCGAGUGAGGUUUUAUCAGAGGCUUUAGCAUUUGCUGAGCUUAAUAAGACUUGGAAAUUUUGGGUUUGUUGUCGGUGUAGUGAGAAGUUUGCAGUUUCAGAGUCUCAUAUGCAGCAUGUUGUUCAGGAACAUAUGGGUAACCUCAUGCCAAAGAUGCAGACCGUUUUGCCACAGAGUGUUGACAGUGAGUGGAUUGAGAUGCUCCUUAACUGUUCUUGGAAUCCUUUGGAUAUUUCUGCUGCUGUUAAAAUGAUUGGGAAUGAGUCUAAAUGCCGGGACUCAGAGUUUUCCGAGGAUUUCUACUCAGAUAACCAUAAUGAGGAGUGUGAUGAUUGCUUCAAAGAUGCAUGGAGUUCAUCUCCUGAGAAGGAACAUUUGGGGGAUCAAUACAAUUGUACUAGCGUAGAGGGCAAAAAUUGUGACAAAGUUUCUAGCAUUGAGUGCAAAGAAUGUGAUGGAAACCAGGGUUCUGUAGCAUAUCCCCAUGUGGAUAGUUGGCCAACAGUGGAUGAUGCUGAGCGCGCAAAGUUGCUUGAAAGAAUUCAUGCUACUUUUGAACUGCUUAUUAGACAUAAGUACCUUGCUGCAAGCCAUCUUAACAAGGUGAUACAAUUCACAAUGGAUGAGUUGCAGAGUUUGGUCUCUGGAUCUCAACUUCUGAAUCAUGGUGUAGAUCAAACUCCCAUGUGCAUCUGUUUUCUGGGAGCUAUGCAGCUUAGAAAAAUCCUCAAAUUCUUGCAGGACUUAUCUCAUUCUUGUGGUUUGACUAGAUACUCUGAGAAGACCGCCCCUGUGGAUGAUGUGAAUCGAGCCAGUCAGAUUCUUGAGGUUAAAGAGAAGAUUGUUCUUAAUGGAGAUGCUUCAUGUCUCCUCCUGGAUGAACGUUUAUUGCCUGAUGUGGCAAUCCAAGAGGCUGCUCUUGCAAAUGCUAACGGUAGCAAUAAUUAUGGGUUUGUACAGGAUGCUGAUGCUCUGCUGUCCUGGAUCUUUGCAGGCCCCUCAAGUGGGGAUCAGUUGGCAUCAUGGAUACGCAAAAAAGAAGAGAAAACACAGCAAGGACUGGAAAUUCUUCAGAUGCUGGAGAAAGAGUUUUAUCACCUACAGAGUCUCUGUGAGAAAAAAUGUGACCAUAUAAGCUAUGAGGAAGCAUUGCAGGCUGUGGAGGAUCUCUGUCUUGAAGAAGGUAAGAAGAGGGAGACUGCAACUGAUUUUGUUUAUCGAAGCUAUGAAUCUGUCCUCAGAAAGCGAAGAGAGGAACUUAUUGAGAGUGAGAAUGAUGUUAUGUUCCUCAGCAGUAGAUUUGAGUUAGAUGCUAUAUCAAAUGUUUUAAAAGAAGCAGAAGCACUGAAUGUCAAUCAAUUUGGCUAUGAGGAUACUUAUGCUGGUGUGACUUCUCAGUUAUGUGACUUGGAAUCUGGUGAAGGUGAUGACUGGAGAACUAAGGAUUAUUUGCAUCAAGUGGAUACCUGCAUAGAAGUUGCCAUUCAGAGGCAGAAGGAACAAUUAUCACUAGAGCUGAGCAAAAUUGAUGCACGAAUUAUGCGAAAUGUUACUGGGAUGCAGCAGUUGGAACUCAAACUUGAGCCUGCAUCUGCACAUGAUUAUCGAUUAAUAAUGCUGCCUUUAGUGAAGUCAUACUUGAGGGCACACUUGGAGGAUCUGGCUGAGAAAGAUGCCACUGAGAAGUCUGAUGCUGCAAGAGAAGCUUUUUUAGCUGAGCUUGCAUGUGAUUCUAAGAAGGGUAGUCGGGGGGGAAGCGAUAAUUCGAGACAUGCUCAGGAGAAAAGCAAGGAUAAGAAAAAGAACAAGGAGCUCAGAAAAUCCAAGGAUUCAAAGGCUUCUGGUGCAAAUGAGCAGCAUAUGCUUAAUGAUGAGACUGCUGAGCAAGUUUCUUCUGCAGUUGCUUCUGAUGGUGACCAUCUGGAUUCUGAAGUUGUUUCUGUGAAUAGUGAUGACUUAAAACAACAAGAAGAGGAAUUUAGACGAAAAAUUGAGCUUGAAGCAGAGGAAAGAAAGCUUGAAGAGACUUUGGAGUAUCAAAGACGGAUUGAGAAUGAGGCUAAGCAGAAGCACCUUGCCGAGCAACAUAAAAAAACUAAUCAAGUAUUUGAAGAGAUAGCAGCAAAUGGAUUGCGUGAUGCUUACUGGGAAGCCAGUGAUCUAGAUAUUCAGGAACAUUUGGCAAUAAGUAACAGAGUCACGGACAAUUUGGAUAGCAUACCACUGAGCACUGCAAAUGGUUCAGCUGUGGCAGUGACUUCGAAUACUUCUGGCACUUACGCAAAAUUUAAACAAGGACUAUCUAAUGGUGCAGUCCCAGAGGAUGCUCUUUUUCCUGGUGAUCGACGGGCAGGAAGAAGAGGUAGACGACAUAAGAGUUCCAACAAAUUUCUUGAUGGAAAGUAUCAAGUCAUUCCAUCUGAAAAGGAAAGCAUUCAAGUUGGAAGCUCUCAUGGCAAUGUGGAAGAGCAAGUUAGAUACGUUGAUGGUUUCCCCAUGGACAGUGUUGCUCCUAUCUCUGUAGAAGGUGGUACAAAGACUUUAAGACAACUGCAAGCUGAGGAAGAUGAUGAAGAAAGGUUCCAAGCUGACCUUAAGCAGGCUGUUCGCCAAAGCCUUGACACAUACCAAGCACAACAAAAAAUGCCCUUGGGUUCAAGUUUGAGAACAGCACCAAGGGUACCUUUGCAAGUAAAUAACCACGGUGUCUCACCAAAUGAGGUCUCAAGUGAAAAUUUGAAUGAAACUGAUGUGCUUGGUACAGGCCUGCAGAAUGAAGUUGGUGAAUACAAUUGCUUUCUGAAUGUUAUAAUACAGUCCUUGUGGCAUUUGAGACGGUUUCGUGAUGAAUUCUUGCGGAGAUCAACAUCAGAUCAUGUUCAUGUGGGAGAUCCAUGUGUUGUCUGUGCACUAUAUGAAAUUUUCUCUGCCCUGAACAUUUCAUCUACUGAUGCACGGAGAGAACCAGUUGCCCCUACAUCACUUAGAGUAGCUCUUAGCAACUUGUAUCCAGAUAGUAACUUUUUCCAAGAGGCUCAGAUGAACGAUGCUUCUGAAGUAUUGGCUGUAAUAUUUGAUUGCCUUCAUCGAUCUUUUACUUCUGGUUCGAGUGUUUCUAAUGCUGAUUCUGCGGACAGCAACUGCACAGGCUCUUGGGAUUGUGCAAACAGUGCUUGUAUGGUGCAUUCCCUUUUUGGAAUGGAUAUCUUUGAACGAAUGAAUUGCUACAAGUGUGGUGUGGAGUCCAGACGUUUGAAGUACACUUCUUUCUUUCAUAAUAUAAAUGCCAGUGCGCUGCGAACUAUGAAGAAAGCUCCUUUGAUGAGCUUUUAAAUCUUGUUGAGAGGAACCAUCAGUUAGCUUGUGAUCCAGAGGCUGGUGGCUGUCGGAGGCUCAACUGUAUCCAUCACAUUCUCUCAAAUCCUCCGCAUGUUUUCACAACAGUUCUUGGUUGGCAGAAUACAAGUGAAUGUGCUGAUGACAUAGCAGCAACACUGGCUGCCUUAAAUAAUGAAAUAGAUAUCAGUGUCCUUUAUCGUGGUCUAGAUCCAAAAAAUAAGCAUCACCUAGUCUCGGUGGUUUGCUAUUAUGGGCAACAUUAUCAUUGUUUUGCCUAUAGUCAUGAUCAUGAGAGAUGGAUAAAGUAUGAUGACAAAACUGUAAAGGUAAUUGGUGGCUGGGCUGAUGUUGUUAAAAUGUGUGAACAAGGGCGCUUGCAACCACAGGUUCUUUUCUUUGAAGCUGUAAAUUAACAAAUUUUGGUGGAAUCUUGUCACAUUAUUUAUACACCGGAUAGCAUUGAGCUUAAAAAGGGUUUGGCAUCUGAUUGCUGUUGGUGGCAAGGUGUUGUUCAUAGUCACAUUGCAGCUUACACCCAUUGCAGUUUAUACAGUAAAAGCAUGCAAAAUUCGUUCAACAGGAAGUUUGAGAAGUUUUGUUACAAAAACAGAGAUGUGAUAUAAAAAUGAAGAGUUUUGAAAUUCAACGAGUUUUUGGUAGGAGAAAGUGGUCUUUUGAGGGAAGAAAUGAUGUAAGGAAAGAGAUUUUGUUUUAAAUUAUGAGGAAAUCAGAUAAUGGAAGAGCAUGAAGUUGGUUUAUUGAUACUCCUGCCUCGAAAUACUUCCCAAUUAAUAAGGUGGAUUUGGUUGAGAAAAAUUGUAUGUGAUUGGCAGGCCAAUGAAUGCAUUGAAGAUCAUUGCCAGGAGGAUAUAGCAAUUGUAAGUGGGGGAAGUUAGUAGAUUCAGAAACUGUGCUAGAUUGUCUUUCUGUCCAAAAUUAUUUCCCCCAAUAUUUGACAGAGGUUCUGUAUAGAUCAACAUCAGGGGACCUUCCCUAGGGUCUUCUACUCUUCAAAUUCCAGCUUAUAGUGAAGUUUUGUUGUCAACCUGAAUCCUGAUGCUGAUGCUGAUGGGGUUACAUACAUACAUACAUACAUACAUACAUACAUUACAUAGUGAUUUUUUGUCGGAUCUCAAGAAAAAUUCUAGUUACUUGCAA